AGCGAACGCUGGCGGCAGGCUUAACACAUGCAAGUCGAGCGGGCAUCCUUGUGGUGUCAGCGGCAGACGGGUGAGUAACGCGUGGGAACGUGCCCUUCGGUUCGGAAUAACUCAGGGAAACUUGAGCUAAUACCGGAUACGUGCGAGAGCAGAAAGGUUUAUCUGCCGAAGGAUCGGCCCGCGUCUGAUUAGCUAGUUGGUGAGGUUAUGGCUCACCAAGGCGACGAUCAGUAGCUGGUCUGAGAGGAUGAUCAGCCGCACUGGGACUGAGACACGGCCCAGACUCCUACGGGAGGCAGCAGUGGGGAAUAUUGGACAAUGGGGGCAACCCUGAUCCAGCCAUGCCGCGUGAGUGAUGACGGCCUUAGGGUUGUAAAGCUCUUUUCUCCGGGACGAUAAUGACGGUACCGGAGGAAUAAGCCCCGGCUAACUUCGUG
This 437-nucleotide ribosomal RNA is filed under the name uncultured bacterium. RNAcentral's name for it is "partial 16S ribosomal RNA". It matches the Rfam family "Bacterial small subunit ribosomal RNA", at positions 29 to 507 of the family's 1533-position model. The record is from RNAcentral.